Molecule: ribosomal RNA, 1389 nt
Filed under: Limosilactobacillus reuteri
Lineage: Bacteria; Bacillati; Bacillota; Bacilli; Lactobacillales; Lactobacillaceae
Description: bacterial SSU rRNA
Rfam family: Bacterial small subunit ribosomal RNA
Source: RNAcentral
UCAGGAUGAACGCCGGCGGUGUGCCUAAUACAUGCAAGUCGUACGCACUGGCCCAACUGAUUGAUGGUGCUUGCACCUGAUUGACGAUGGAUCACCAGUGAGUGGCGGACGGGUGAGUAACACGUAGGUAACCUGCCCCGGAGCGGGGGAUAACAUUUGGAAACAGAUGCUAAUACCGCAUAACAACAAAAGCCACAUGGCUUUUGUUUGAAAGAUGGCUUUGGCUAUCACUCUGGGAUGGACCUGCGGUGCAUUAGCUAGUUGGUAAGGUAACGGCUUACCAAGGCGAUGAUGCAUAGCCGAGUUGAGAGACUGAUCGGCCACAAUGGAACUGAGACACGGUCCAUACUCCUACGGGAGGCAGCAGUAGGGAAUCUUCCACAAUGGGCGCAAGCCUGAUGGAGCAACACCGCGUGAGUGAAGAAGGGUUUCGGCUCGUAAAGCUCUGUUGUUGGAGAAGAACGUGCGUGAGAGUAACUGUUCACGCAGUGACGGUAUCCAACCAGAAAGUCACGGCUAACUACGUGCCAGCAGCCGCGGUAAUACGUAGGUGGCAAGCGUUAUCCGGAUUUAUUGGGCGUAAAGCGAGCGCAGGCGGUUGCUUAGGUCUGAUGUGAAAGCCUUCGGCUUAACCGAAGAAGUGCAUCGGAAACCGGGCGACUUGAGUGCAGAAGAGGACAGUGGAACUCCAUGUGUAGCGGUGGAAUGCGUAGAUAUAUGGAAGAACACCAGUGGCGAAGGCGGCUGUCUGGUCUGCAACUGACGCUGAGGCUCGAAAGCAUGGGUAGCGAACAGGAUUAGAUACCCUGGUAGUCCAUGCCGUAAACGAUGAGUGCUAGGUGUUGGAGGGUUUCCGCCCUUCAGUGCCGGAGCUAACGCAUUAAGCACUCCGCCUGGGGAGUACGACCGCAAGGUUGAAACUCAAAGGAAUUGACGGGGGCCCGCACAAGCGGUGGAGCAUGUGGUUUAAUUCGAAGCUACGCGAAGAACCUUACCAGGUCUUGACAUCUUGCGCUAACCUUAGAGAUAAGGCGUUCCCUUCGGGGACGCAAUGACAGGUGGUGCAUGGUCGUCGUCAGCUCGUGUCGUGAGAUGUUGGGUUAAGUCCCGCAACGAGCGCAACCCUUGUUACUAGUUGCCAGCAUUAAGUUGGGCACUCUAGUGAGACUGCCGGUGACAAACCGGAGGAAGGUGGGGACGACGUCAGAUCAUCAUGCCCCUUAUGACCUGGGCUACACACGUGCUACAAUGGACGGUACAACGAGUCGCNNNCUCGCGAGAGUAAGCUAAUCUCUUAAAGCCGUUCUCAGUUCGGACUGUAGGCUGCAACUCGCCUACACGAAGUCGGAAUCGCUAGUAAUCGCGGAUCAGCAUGCCGCGGGUGAANAC